This 212-nucleotide ribosomal RNA is filed under the name Klebsiella pneumoniae. RNAcentral describes it as "partial 23S ribosomal RNA". It matches the Rfam family "Bacterial large subunit ribosomal RNA", at positions 1 to 204 of the family's 2925-position model. Lineage: Bacteria; Pseudomonadati; Pseudomonadota; Gammaproteobacteria; Enterobacterales; Enterobacteriaceae. RNAcentral also lists the same sequence under 1 other name. The record is from RNAcentral.
GGGUUGUGAGGUUAAGCGACUAAGCGUACACGGUGGAUGCCCUGGCAGUCAGAGGCGAUGAAGGACGUGCUAAUCUGCGAAAAGCGUCGGUAAGGUGAUAUGAACCGUUAUAACCGGCGAUGUCCGAAUGGGGAAACCCAGUGCAAUUCGUUGCACUAUCGUUAACUGAAUACAUAGGUUAACGAGGCGAACCGGGGGAACUGAAACAUCUA